AUGAUGAUUGGCGAUGGAGGAAAGCGGCAUACUAUCUCCGAUGGCCACGUCUUGCCACGACUGGCAUCGGAGAAGUUAGUUGUUGCCUCCACUUCGCCCUCCGCUAUCAACAUUGAAGAAGAAUUUGAAGCUGAUAUCAUGCAAAAUAUCAACCGGAGCUCCGACACCCCCAUCUCCGUGCACCGUGUCAUGUUUGGACCCGAAGGCUGGGCGGACCUACCACAUGGAUUAUUGCACUCCAUCAUUGUCCUGUUGGGUUCAACUCGUGACCUUCUUGCAUUCAUCGCCACCUGCCCUAGCUGGUAUGCCGCAUUCAUGUCAAUCAAAUCUACCUUAGGCGAGCUCUUCCCACCUGUUAUUUUCCGGAACUGUGCUGACCAGACAAGCUCAGCUGGCUCUAACAUUGGAAACACAUGGGAGCUCAUUGAUCCUGUAUAUCCAAGUACUCCGUUGUGUCGCUUGACCCCUCCAAGUAUUUUGGACAAAAUGGCAGUCGUCAAAUGUUCUUAUGGUCAUGCUAUUUUCUGCUACGAGAGAUCCCUUGUCAUUAUGGACGUGCUCACUGGCACUACGGUUGCAGCUCCACCUUUUCCAUUGAGUCAACUAUGCUACAGAACCUUCAUAUCUCCAGAGGCGUCACCAGAUUCAUAUCUAUUUUUCAGCAGCCCGCACUGCCUGUAUGCUUGGCGAGUUGGGAGCCCCUCUUGGUUGCACUGCGAUUUUCUAAAUGCACAUUUGAUCAAGGAGAUGGUGUCCUUCAAAGGUGGGGUCAUUAUGAGGAUGCGUCAAAAACUAUACACCGUGCAUUUGACACCUCAGUUUCAUGUUGAGCUACUAAGACUUGAUUGCAGAGAUUAUAUGGACCCGUACGUGCUUUCCGGAAAUUUGGUGGCUUGUGAAGACACACUUCUCCUACUUGGUCGUAACGGGGAAGCCUUCUCCAUUGACUUCUCAACUGAACCUGCAAAGUAUGUGAUCGUGGAAGAGGGAGGCUUGAAGAAGUGGAAGUUCUUCUUGGGCGAGAAACGUACUGGACAGCCACGACUCUUAGUGAACCCAGAGAGAAUGGGUUUAAGGGGUGGCCUUGUCUAUCAGUUGGAUGAAAACGCUCGAGUAUUUUCAUACCCAGUAGAUGGCAACCAACAUGAGCAGUUGGAGCCAGAACCUUGUUUUGCGACGAUCAAUGCUCAUCUUGCUCGUAAUCCUACAUCCUUUGCAGCUUGGAUAUGA
This 1230-nucleotide ribosomal RNA is filed under the name Triticum aestivum (bread wheat). RNAcentral's name for it is "partial small subunit ribosomal RNA". Lineage: Eukaryota; Viridiplantae; Streptophyta; Magnoliopsida; Poales; Poaceae. The record is from RNAcentral.